UAUGUGAAUCUGAGGCCCCAAAAUGGGAUGUGACUUCCUAAAUAUCACUCAGCUAGUUAGAGCUUGGAUCAGCCCGAUCUCCUGACUGUCCUAGAUGUUAGCAUGGCAUCUCAAGCUUCUCUCCCAUAGGGCAGGGGACAUGUGCCCUACCCAACCCCUCAGCUGGAAGAAGGCAGCCAUAAGCAAGAAACUUUCAAACAGCAUGUGACUACUGCCUUCUCAUGUAGAGUCUACUUUUUGACUAGAAAAUUCUUCCCCUCUCUUAGCUCUUUCACCCAGGUAACUUCAACAGGAGUACAUCCUUAAACUUCUUGUGGGGAGGGGAGCCGACACCUAUCCUAGAUUCUAAUCUAAGCCCCAUGAGGUCAAUCUUGUUCACUCGAGAGCCUAGCACAGUAUCUGGCAAACAACCUUCACUUGGGCUCUUGCUGUAUGUCGUCAUAUACCAUGCUAGGUACUUUAAAUGAUAUCACUACACCCUUAGGUAGA
Molecule: long non-coding RNA, 489 nt
Organism: Eptesicus fuscus (big brown bat)
Lineage: Eukaryota; Metazoa; Chordata; Mammalia; Chiroptera; Vespertilionidae
Exons: 3
Source: RefSeq, a predicted model, not a curated record